This 522-nucleotide ribosomal RNA is filed under the name uncultured bacterium. Its description in RNAcentral is "bacterial SSU rRNA". It matches the Rfam family "Bacterial small subunit ribosomal RNA", at positions 24 to 518 of the family's 1533-position model. The record is from RNAcentral.
UCAGGACGAACGCUGGCGGCGUGCCUAAUACAUGCAAGUCGAACGGUCUUUCUAUGGAAGCUUGCUUCCACUGAGAAGAUAGUGGCGAACGGGUGAGUAACACGUGGGUAACCUGCCCAUAAGAGGGGGGAUAACAUCCGGAAACGGGUGCUAAUACCGCAUAGUUUUCUUGAUCGCAUGAUCGGGAAAGGAAAGACGGCCUUUGUGCUGUCGCUUAUGGAUGGACCCGCGGCGUAUUAGUUAGUUGGUGAGGUAACGGCUCACCAAGACGAUGAUACGUAGCCGACCUGAGAGGGUGAUCGGCCACAUUGGGACUGAGACACGGCCCAAACUCCUACGGGAGGCAGCAGUAGGGAAUCUUCCGCAAUGGACGAAAGUCUGACGGAGCAACGCCGCGUGAGUGAAGAAAGGUUUUCGGAUCGUAAAACUCUGUUGUCAGAGAAGAACAAGUUGGAGAGUAACUGCUCCAGCCUUGACGGUAUCUGACCAGAAAGCCACGGCUAACUACGUGCCAGCCGCCGC